This 24-nucleotide non-coding RNA is filed under the name Arabidopsis thaliana (thale cress). The record is from RNAcentral. Lineage: Eukaryota; Viridiplantae; Streptophyta; Magnoliopsida; Brassicales; Brassicaceae.
CUGUUUGAUUCUAUGAAGCUGAGA